CCUACGGGAGUCAGCAGGGCGGCAUUUGGGACAAUGGGGGCAAGCCUGAUCCAGCAAUCCAGCCUGAGUGAAGAAGGCAUUAGGGCUGUAAAGCUCUUAAGUCAGGGAAGAAACGGUAGAGGCUAAUAUCCUUUGCUAAUGACGGUACCUCAUGAAUAAGCACCGGGUAAAUAUGUGCCAGCACACGCGGUAAUACACAGGGGGCACGCGCUAAUUGGAAUUUCUGGGGGUAAAGCGUGCGCAGGCGGUUUUGUAUGUGUCACGUGAGAUCGCCGGUUUCACCCCGAGAGCCGCGUUGGAGAGAGCAAGUAGAGUAUGUUCCGGAGGGGGGGAGAAUUCCGCGUGUAGCAGAGAAAUGUAGAGAUCAGGCAAGGAACACCGAGGGAGAGGGCUCCGCCGGGGGUCAAGUUACACUCUCGGACGAAAGAUAGGGGGGAGAAAGCGCUUGGAGCAUCAGCAGAGUCCACCCUAAGCGAGAAUGAUGGUAGUAUCUGGUUCUAACCACUCGGUGCCGCAGCUAACGCGUUAAGUUACCGCCUGGGAGACCCCAAUUG
RNAcentral lists this ribosomal RNA (554 nucleotides) under uncultured beta proteobacterium. Its description in RNAcentral is "bacterial SSU rRNA". It matches the Rfam family "Bacterial small subunit ribosomal RNA", at positions 338 to 888 of the family's 1533-position model. Lineage: Bacteria; Pseudomonadati; Pseudomonadota; Betaproteobacteria. The record is from RNAcentral.